GUUAAGAGUUAAAGUAAAAAGAGCAGAGAAAUGGUUAGAGGAGAACAAUAUAAUAUGCGCAAGGGACGAUAAGAGCAAACUAAUAGUUUUAUUGAAAAAAGAAACAUAUGAUACAUUUAUAAAGAAUUUUUUGGAAGAGAAUAAAAGUCAAAACAAUUAGAUAAGGACCCAACUGAAAACAUUGAUAGAGAGGUAUAUAGAAUAUUGAAAGAUAAAAAGCUCCCAAACUUCCUAAAAGGCAGCAUCAAUUAAGUCACCUAAAUGACCUAGGCUGUUUGCCCUUAUCAAACGGCAGAAAGAUCCAAUUCAAGUGAGACCAGUAAUGGAAAGAUUCACAGCGCCUAUGUACAGUUUUGAAAAGAGAUUGGCUAAAUGGGCAUAUGAAAAGUUAAAAGGUUACCAAUACACAACUUCCUCCUCUAAAGACCUUAUUGAUAAAAUAUUAGAAGUAGGACCAUUACCAGAACAAAUAAUGCAAGUAUAUGACUUUAAAUUGUUAUACCCUUCAAUAAAACUAGAACUGGCA
This 526-nucleotide long non-coding RNA is filed under the name Androctonus crassicauda. The record is from RNAcentral. Lineage: Eukaryota; Metazoa; Arthropoda; Arachnida; Scorpiones; Buthidae.